This 253-nucleotide ribosomal RNA is filed under the name uncultured bacterium. RNAcentral's name for it is "partial 16S ribosomal RNA". It matches the Rfam family "Bacterial small subunit ribosomal RNA", at positions 524 to 776 of the family's 1533-position model. The record is from RNAcentral.
UACAGAGGUCUCAAGCGUUGUUCGGAUUCAUUGGGCGUAAAGGGUGCGUAGGCGGCGCGGUAAGUCGGGUGUGAAAUCUCGGAGCUUAACUCCGAAACUGCAUUCGAUACUGCCGUGCUUGAGGACUGGAGAGGAGACUGGAAUUUACGGUGUAGCAGUGAAAUGCGUAGAGAUCAUGAGGAAGACCAGUGGCGAAGGCGGGUCUCUGGACAGUUCCUGACACUGAGACACGAAGGCCAGGGGAGCAAACAGG